RNAcentral lists this ribosomal RNA (618 nucleotides) under Streptococcus thermophilus. RNAcentral describes it as "bacterial SSU rRNA". It matches the Rfam family "Bacterial small subunit ribosomal RNA", at positions 23 to 624 of the family's 1533-position model. Lineage: Bacteria; Bacillati; Bacillota; Bacilli; Lactobacillales; Streptococcaceae. The record is from RNAcentral.
CUCAGGACGAACGCUGGCGGCGUGCCUAAUACAUGCAAGUAGAACGCUGAAGAGAGGAGCUUGCUCUUCUUGGAUGAGUUGCGAACGGGUGAGUAACGCGUAGGUAACCUGCCUUGUAGCGGGGGAUAACUAUUGGAAACGAUAGCUAAUACCGCAUAACAAUGGAUGACACAUGUCAUUUAUUUGAAAGGGGCAAUUGCUCCACUACAAGAUGGACCUGCGUUGUAUUAGCUAGUAGGUGAGGUAAUGGCUCACCUAGGCGACGAUACAUAGCCGACCUGAGAGGGUGAUCGGCCACACUGGGACUGAGACACGGCCCAGACUCCUACGGGAGGCAGCAGUAGGGAAUCUUCGGCAAUGGGGGCAACCCUGACCGAGCAACGCCGCGUGAGUGAAGAAGGUUUUCGGAUCGUAAAGCUCUGUUGUAAGUCAAGAACGGGUGUGAGAGUGGAAAGUUCACACUGUGACGGUAGCUUACCAGAAAGGGACGGCUAACUACGUGCCAGCAGCCGCGGUAAUACGUAGGUCCCGAGCGUUGUCCGGAUUUAUUGGGCGUAAAGCGAGCGCAGGCGGUUUGAUAAGUCUGAAGUUAAAGGCUGUGGCUCAACCAUAGUUCGC